AUUAACAAUAACAAUGUAUGUAGUUAGGAACACAUUCUUGCACCAGGAUUGGACUUGAAAUCCUUGAGGGGCAUACUAACCGGAGUGUAAGUGCUCCGUCAGACUGAUGAUACUUUGAAGUAGCAAUCAUGGCACCACCCCUGGAUAAAUACCUUCCGCCUGGCUGCAAAUUUGUGCCUUCCCACGGCCCCCGCAAGGAUCCCAUUGUCCGAAGUCCACGACAUCGGCAGCAGCAUUGUCGAUCAGACUCCCCAGUACUGCACAGCCUACCCUGGAGUGGGGCGUCCUCUCCAUUCUCCCCAGCGACGAGUCCAUUAUGCUCUCCACCAAGGAGAAGAAUUUCCCCACCGAGGAGAGGAAUUUCUCCACCGAAGAGAGGAAUUUCUUCGCCCAGGAGAGGGAAUUCCCCGUCAACGAGUCAAGGAUGGUCCCCACCGAAGAGCCGAGCAAGCUCUCCCGUAAAAAGCUGUCCUAGCUCCCCAGCAGUAUCCUAUUCAUGCUGCCGGAGUAGACCCGACGGGCCGUGCUCCCCGCGACGGAUCAGUCGUGUCUGCUCGCCCACAGCGGGCUACUCGUGCCCGAAGCCUGAGAAACCCCGAUCCCCCACACAUGCAGGUCCUACUCCUCACACCCUCUGCGCCUCCCCUCUGCAUCGCAUUCGAACACCCAGUUUGUCCCCAACGGCCAAUCGAUCGAGUCCUCGCACACCAUCCAGAGUUCGUCAUGAGAAGAAGUGGGACAUGGGCGAGAGCCAUGAGGGACACCCCGGGAGGACCUUCGACGAGAUUGCAUUCAAAUUUCAGCUCAAACCUCGCAGACCGACGUCGGGCUCACUGGAGGAGAAAGCUGUGACAUCAUAUUGCCAACUGAAGGAGGGCCACCAGGUGCACCCUUAUGGCGAUCAAGGGAAUCUGCACGCACUCAGCGCGACGCAAAGCUGGAAGUCCACUCGCCCGUCAGGGUGGAGGGGAGGCCAUGCAUCACGCGGGGGUUGGGAUCCAUGCAUCCAGCGGAGGGGGCGCCAUGUGGUCGUAGCCGAAGUCUACUUGCCCCCGCCCAAUGCCAGGCCCUGGCCGCACCCGUGCGUGAGAAACAGGCCCUCCACCGUCGUCGCCCCGCGCCUGUUUCCACCCCAGGCCAACGAGGAACCUGCUCAGGCCAUUGCUGUCACCAAGCUCCGUCCACUGGAUCCCCUUGAUCGGGAUACCGAUCCCCUCCGCCAGGCGAGCGUUGCUGCCAUUGAUGUCGCGUCACGAGAGAGUGCAGGCUGGUGCCCAAGUUCUCCCUCGCCGCCUGCUCCCACUCCCUCCGCAUCGGAGAGUGCUGCCGGUGAUGCCCUUCUGUUGCCGAUGGCCAGACCCAGAGAGAAGGCACACUCCGGAAGGGCUGAGAUCAUUGUGGUCAACCACUUCAAAGUCAAGGAUACCUUUAAGUUUGGGAACAUCCAUGCCAAAAGGAUGACGGUGGUUCCCCCUGCUUCAGUGGACUUGCACAGAAAGAUUCUCGAGGUUUUGAAGGUUCGAAUGAAGGAAACAUUCGGGAGCAUACCCCUGCUGGUUUACGAUGGCAGAGAUUCUCUGUACAGCAAUAUGGCCUUCCCAUUUGGGACGCUCUGCGAGCGAUAUACUCCUUUGCCCUCAUUAAAACAGCAACCGCCACACUACGAUGUGAAACUGGAACCCAGAGGGCCGUUUCUAGGCAAUCUAUUGCAGAAGUACAUCGAGGGGGACGAUAUGCUUAGUCUGCACGAGGAGUACAUCAAUGCCCUGAGAGUCAUAAUGCAAGAGCACCAGCGCAACAGCAGCCGAGUGGUGCAGUCCGGGCCGUAUGCGUACUACCCAGACGCGUCCUACACAACCCCAGUCAACAAGUUCCUCAAUUCGUGCACGGGCUUCUUUAAAAGCUUGAGGCCAACGAAGCAAGGGCUGGUGUUGAAUGUGGAUGUGGCCCAGUGCUGGUUCUUUACGAAGGAUCUCAUAUCGAAAACCAUCCUGGACUAUGUGCUGGAAAUGAUGGCCAGGGACCGGCAGCUGGUGCCCAACAAACAGGCGGAGCUUAGCCCCCAACAGCGGGACUUCUGUCUCAAUCUUUUGGUGGGCACGAAGGUGAUACUGGAUUAUUACCCUGGAGAAGUGGUCAGGAAAUCCAAGGUCGAAGGGCUGUCACAUUCUGCAACCAGCAAGCUCACGUUCAUGAAACAGCCUGAGAACGUGGACAAUGUGCGUGUGACGGAUUACUUCAAGGAAAAGUACGCGAAGGAAGUGCAGUGGAAAAACUUGCCCUGCCUGAUCCUGAAAUCCACCAAUGGGAAAGUGUAUGUCCCUAUGGAGCUGGCCAAGCUCUCACCGAUGUCGAGGUUUGUGGGACAAGGAAUCGAGCGCGGUAAAAAAUUCGAUUUUCAUAAUUACUUGAGGAAUCCGGGUGCGAGGUGCAAACGAAUCGGUGAUAUGAUGGAAGAGAGAUACUCGGUCGACAUCAAUCGUCACAUCAGUGAUCCGUUUUGUGCUGCCUUUGAACUUGGCUUCCAAACGUCGAUGACGGAGGUGCAGAGCAGGGUGUUGAGAGCUCCGAUAAUUCAGUUCAAGGAUGGGCAGGAGCCCGUGGACCCUGGAAGGGUUGGGUUCUGGGCGUGGAACCACAAACAGGCCCUUCAAGGUUCCAGAAUCUGUUGGUGGGGGGUGUGUGACUUAACUGGAGGGAAGUUCACGAAGCGGACCGAGUGGAUCCAUUUCAUCACCAGCCGUGCAACUGAGAUGGGUAUAAAACUGCUGAAGCCCAUGACCACAGGCAGGGCCCAUGUCUGCCACCUAGAAUCUCUGAACACCACGUUUGCGUUAAUCCAAAACGCCAUCCCCCAGGGUGAAAAGGACAGAGGGGCUUUCUGCCAGUUGAUCCUAGUGAUCGUGGACGGGCACCGAAGCCCACUGUACAACGAGAUCAAGUACUUCGGUGACAUUGAGAAGGGUGUUCCUGUUCAAGUGGUCAACUACUACCCCUUGCAACAGAGCUACCUGGAUGACAAGUGCUUCAACAAGACGGCAGCCACCAAUCUGUUGCUGAAGGUGAAUGUCAAGUGUGGGGGUCGCAACUUCCGCCUCCACCAAACUCUCGACCAUGUCAGCAACCUCUCCAGCAUCCGGAACCGCACCUGCAUCUUCCUCGGGGCCGAUGUCUCCCACCCUGGUGUCGGUGACCACGAGGCGCCGUCCAUCGCGGCCGUUGUGGGAAGCAUCGACUGGCCUGACUCUGUACGUUUCAUUGCUCGCCACAGCGCCCAAAAACGAUACACGGAAAUAAUCCUCAACUUGCAGGAGCUCGUGUUAGACCUUCUUCGCGAGUGGCACCAAGCUAAUCGACAUUGCCUUCCCCAAGUGAUUAUAUUAUUUCGAGACGGAGUGGGACAAAGCCAAUUUCAAGAGGUUCUGGAGAAGGAGGUCAAUGCAGUCAAAGACGCUGCCCGUCAAGCCGCAGUGGAGCUCAGCUCCAUGUCGUCGUAUGAGCCGUGCAUUACGUUUGCGAUGGUGCAGAAAAGGCAUCAUACGCGGCUGUUCAGGAGAAUCUGCGACAGGAAGUACACCAAGGGCUUGUCCAACACUCCGUCGACGGCUCUCUCGGGGUGCCGGGAUCUGAACGUGCCUCCUGGCACGGUGGUGGAUGAUAAGAUCGUCCAUCCUCGCAACUUCGAUUUCUACUUGUGCAGCCAUUCGGGAGAGAAAGGCACCAGCAGACCAGCUCACUACCACAUUCUCUACGAUGGAACCGGAUUCAGUGCAGAUGACUUCCAGAACCUCACGAACAAGCUGUGCUACAUGUUCGGGCGGAGCACGAGAGCCGUGUCUAUAGUGACGCCGGCGUACUACGCUCAUCUGGCGGCGUGGAGGGCCAGAGUGUGGUACCAGGCCAUGAGGCAGAAGCGAAGCAGCAGCAUCAGCGUGGGAGGAGGAGGAGGAGGAGAGGGAGGGGUAGGGGGGAUUCGAUCCCAUGACUCCUACUAUUCGGUGGUGCCCCCUAGCGUGCACCCCCGGCUUCGUCUUCACAUGUAUUACCUAUAGCCCUCCUCCUUCCCUUCCAACUCCUAACUCCCCUCAAUUGGCUUCACCCCACCUUCUAUUCACAAGGUGGUUUUUAAUGACACAAUUUGAUACAUCGAAUCUAAAUGGAUAAUUUCAUGUAAAAAGAAAUAAAAGAAAUUAUUAAAAUAUUGAUGAGUUGGAAUAUAACAAAAUAUUCAAAUAAUAAAUCUAAAAUAUAAAAAGAGUUUUUUAUAUUAAAAAAUAAAAUAAAGAAUUAAUUAAAGAAUUGAUAAGGUUGAAGAUGAACUUAAUCUUGAUUCUAGUGUAUUAUCUUCAAAAAUAGAAUCUUGUUCUCAAAACUUUAUCAAUUUGUUACAUACUCUGAUAAUUAUCUCAAAAAAUGAGAAAUUAUGUAAAAUUUAUAUUAUUAAUUAUUCAAUGUUAAUAUUAACUAUUUUUUAAAAUUUUAUUUUUAAAAUAGUAACUAUAUCGAAAUUCAGGAUUUAUGAUAUCAUAUGAAAUCAAUUUAAAGUGAUAUUUUAAAAUUGGUUCCUUUUUUUUAAAAAAUCUUACAAUUAAUAUCUUCAUUGGCUAAAACAUAUCCAACAAAUGCAAUUUCUUCACAAUUUUGGCAUCCAUUCUAUUUCUUGAAAAAUACUAGAUACUUAAACCUGGUAAUAUAUUUAAAAUAAAAUAUAAGAUCAAUAUUUUGAAUCGUCUUAUUUUUUGGACAUCCAUAAGGGAACAUUAUGUAUUCUCACUUCUCAUUUCUUUUGUAUACCUACUUAUUAUGAUCUAAAAUAAUGAUUUUUCUCACAUUUGGCUUGAGAAUCAUCUCCACAUCCAUUAGCACCAAAGAUCUUAUUACCAUGACAAUCAAAUCACAAAAUAUGAACAAUAUGUUCCUCUACUACAUACCAAAAUUAUAUUAUUUUUAAUAUAAAAAAUGUUAAAAUGACUCAUCUUUUUACUAAAUUGACCCACCCUAUUGUGGGAAACAAGAAAGAAUAAGGGAGAUUGGAAUGAGAGCUAGAAAUGGGGAAGGAAAACAAGGUUGGUAUAAAGGCUACAAAAAAGAGGAAGUAGGAUUAGGAACAAGGGGGAUUGGAAUGAAGGCUAUGAUUGUAAUAAUAGUUUUUGGAGAUGAUCCAUUUCUCUAAUGAUGGUUACAAUACGAUGGACUGAUUUAGUAAAUAAGUGGAUUAUUUUGAUAUUUUUCUUUUAAUAUAUAUUAUGAUUUAUAAUAAUAUAUUAUUGUAUAAUUUUUAAAAAUGUAAAGUUCAUCCAAGAAGUGUACAAUAAAAUUUAAAUACUCAUUCAAACUAAAAUAAAACAGAUACAUCCAUUUAUUAUUAUGAUUAAGUUACAAACAAAUUGAGUUAUUUUAACAUUAAAAAAUAAUUGAAAAU
Non-coding RNA from Physcomitrium patens, 5422 nucleotides. NCBI's taxonomy places the organism in Eukaryota, Viridiplantae, Streptophyta, Bryopsida, Funariales, Funariaceae. The record is from RefSeq and is a predicted model, not a curated record.